AUGAUAUGAGAGCUUAUGCGUUCGCAAAGAGCAAUCUCUUCCUUAUGCAGACACAGUCCCGAACGCUUCUCUCCUUCCCAAUUCAACUCUCUCCUUCAACUAUGCAGCAAUUCAAAAGCAGCGGCGCAAGUCAAACAAGUUCACCAACAAAUGAUACUACACGGGGCAGCCGAGAAUCCCUUCAUGGUCACCAAACUAGUCCAGUUGUACGCGGACAGCGACGAUUUGGUAAUGGUAGACAAACUGUUCGACAGAUUGCCUGACCCAAAUGUGUAUGCAUGGACUGCCAUUCUAGCAUUUUAUUCGAGGCAUGGAAUGUACAAAGAUUGUGCAAAAGCGUACGGGCAGAUGAAAUCUAAUGCUGUUCUACCUGACAGUUAUGUGUUUCCAAAGAUUUUAAGGGCGUGCGGGCAAGUAGUUUGUUUGGAAGUGGGUGUUCAGGUUCAUAAAGAUGUGAUUGUAUGUGGGUCUGAAUUGAAUUUAGAGGUCUCUAAUUCUUUGAUUGAUAUGUACAUGAAAUGUAAGGAUGUGAGGGGUGCUAGACAGAUUUUUUAUGAGAUGGUGGAGAGGGACUUGUUGUCUUGGAAUUCAAUGAUUUCAGGGCUUGUUUACAAUGGGUUGCUUGAAGAAGCUGUGCAGUACUUUUUUCAUAUGAGAUUAGAUGGGUUUGAGCCUGAUAUUGUUACUCUCAAUAUGACAAUGGAUGCUUACUGCAGACUGGGGCUCUGUGAAGAGGCAUGGAAGACAUUUGAACAGAUUAAGGAGCCUAAUAUCAUCUCAUGGACUACUUUGAUCUCAGGAUAUUCAAGGGUUGGAAAACAUAAAUUAUCAUUGGAAAUCUUUAGGGAUAUGAUGUAUAAGGGAAUGGUCAUCCCUGAUGUAGAUUCUCUUUCUAGUAUUAUUGUUUCCUGCCGUCAUUUGAAUUUUCCUUUAAAUGGAAGAGAAAUUCAUGGUUAUGGGAUUAAGACGAACAUAGGGAUUGUAUUUUACAAAUCAGCAGGUCCUGCCUUGUUACCAAUGUAUGCCAAGUGUGGUAGAUUUCUGGAUGCAGUUAAUACUUUUGAAUCAAUGGACCAAUCUGAUGUUGUUGCUUGGAAUGCAAUGAUUCUUGGUUUUGUUGAUUUGGGGUGCACAAAUAUGGCACUUGAAUACUUUAGCAAAUUGCAGAGAAUGGGUCUCAAGAAUGAUCAGACAACAAUAUCUACUGUUUUGCCUGCGUGUGAUCUGAAAUCUGGUAAGCAAAUUCAUGCCUACAUCAGGAAAUUUUUGUUUGAUUCAGUUGUGGUUUGGAAUGCUCUGAUUAACUUAUACUGCAAAUGUGGACAUAUUGGAUAUGCAUACUGCGUAUUUUCGAACAUGGUCACCAGGGAUUUAGUAUCAUGGAACACAAUGAUUGGAGGGUUUGGAAUGCAUGGGCUUGGCCAGGAUGCCCUUCAGCUUCUAUAUGAGAUGAUUCAUUCAGGGCUUUCUCCUGAUUCUGUGACUAUUACUUCCGUUCUGUCAGCCUGUAGUCACUCAGGUCUUGCGGAUGAGGGGCUCAAAAUUUUUCACAGCAUAAUGAAGGAUCAUGGUAUCACCCCCAGAAUAGAACAUUUCACUUGUAUUGUCGAUAUGCUGGCACGCGCUGGCCGGCUCGAAGAUGCUGUCAAUUUUAUCACCAGAAUGCCUUCAGAGCCUAAUAAGCAUAUAUGGGGGGCUUUAUUAGCUGCCUCCCGUGCCCACCAAAAUGUUAACGUUGGAAUACUUGCUGCUGAACAACUAAUCCAUUUGGAACCUGAAAAUGCUGGACACUAUAUCACACUGUCAAACAUAUAUGCAAGAGCUGGAAGAUGGGAUGAUGCUGUAAGGAUGAGAAAGAAAAUGCAGGACAAGGGACUGGUGAAGCCAUCAGGACAAAGUUGGAUUGAAGGUGGAAACUGAUUCAACAAGAGUAAAAUAGACUACAUCAAGUAAUGUUAUUGAGCUUUCUUCAUCUCCGCUGUACUCUCCUUCUUCUUCUUCUUCACUAUCGUCGUCUUCUUUAUCAUUCGAGAUUAAUUAUUCUUCAGAUUUGAGUCCGGCGACAUUGAAGCGACCGUGGAUCUCCGAUGGGCCCACGACCCCCGUACCAAGGCAGAAAAAAAAAACGGAGACAUCAUUAAUUAAAAGUUAAAACUACAAUUAAUACAAAGCAUCGUCAUCAAACGGAAGUCAAAGUAUAUAGCCAUGUGUUUUGUUCCAUCAAUGACUGCCUCUCCGUGACCCAGUCUUUGUAUUUGCUUGUGACUUCACUCUUCAGAGCUGGAGAAACUUUACUCUCUUCCUAUUACGGCAUCUCUGCGUCUACGUACGAGACCCACCACAAAAACACCCAAAAAAAAAAAAACAGAUAAUACCGACAUGACACAACGACGAUUUACCCUAGAAGAAAUUAAUUCGGUUUUCAUUAAUUGAUUCGAGUUUUAUAGUGAAACCGACUAGGAGGAGCGUUCUGUUGGUCUAAACUCCCAUUGUUUUUCACGAGGCUGUUUGACAAAAAUAGCUCUAGACUCACGCAGUUCAUCCUUGGCUGCUUCUCUUAUCUAUCUUUCUACUGCCUUAGUUUUUGACGAAAGAGUGUUCGUGGCUGAGGAUACGAGGUUGGGAUGAACAGUACUGUUUGAGCUCUAUAUGACUCCUACUUUCGGGUUAUUCUUAGUUUCUGCAACAUCAAUGGCUGAAUUUUUCUAUGACCUCAUCAAGGAUACUCUUAUUGUAAAGCCUUAUAAACACUAACACCAACGUUAAAUUACAAGAUAUCCAAGUAAUUGAUAAGCCUCCUCAUGGUAUCAACCCUGAGCAAUUGGGUAUUCCUCGGGUGCAUUACCCAGAACCACAAACUUUUAGCAGGGACGAAUGUG
Tripterygium wilfordii is the source of this 2879-nucleotide RNA transcript. It is a transcript of the gene named nodulation protein H-like, with no coding region annotated. The transcript is spliced from 4 exons. The record is from RefSeq and is a predicted model, not a curated record. Lineage: Eukaryota; Viridiplantae; Streptophyta; Magnoliopsida; Celastrales; Celastraceae.